CCUCAUUGCGACUUUUGAGUCCAUUUCUCGCGUAGAAAUUCCUCAAGAAUGUUGGUGAAUUUUCUCACAAUUUUCUUCGUGAUUUCCAUUUGUUUUCUGUGGUAUGAAAGUUUGGCGCUGCAGUGCUAUAUUUGUGAUUCCUCAAAGGGGGAUGGAUGCCAGAGGAAUACGAACUUUCGUCAAUUGCCCGUUGAGACCUGCCCAGAAGAUCUUCCACCUUGGCUAACGGAAAUGCAGUGCUCAAGAUUAACGGUCAAAGUCAACGAAGACAACAAAGAGACCAACGUGGUUGUCCGUGGAUGCAUGCCGGCUGAAUCUUGUGCAACACUCAAACAAAUAAAGGACCAUGCAUGGAGUAAUUUAACCGUGGUUGAGUGCUACAUGUGCAAGACGGAUCUGUGUAAUGCUAAAAGGCGCGCUAUGGUUGGGAAGCAUUUUACAACAAUCAAAAGUUGAGGGAGGAGGAGAGCAUAUAGCCAAAUGUAGGUCAGUGCCAGAUAGCGUGAGAGUGUGGAGGGCCGCCGAUAAGUUUAAGCUUCCCCGGAAUCUCACAGAGAUAUUCCCAACAAUGAAUUUCAGCGCAAAAUUGGAUGGCGGAAAUGGUAUGUAAAUGGUAUUCAGUGGAUUGCCAAAGAGUUCACCAAACAAUCCAAACACUCUGUGUGCGAUUUAUGGAAGCUCCCAACACUACUAUAUAAUAUAGGAACUUUUCAACAUCCGGAGGAGAUGAGAAAAUGUCCAAAAGAUUUAUGAUUUUAGCGGAAGUGGCUGAUUGUAAGAAAUUGAAAUGGAGAAUUAUAAUUUUUUUUUCGUUAAGUUUUGUCUGAGAUUGGAAAUUUUUUUCUCGGAGGGAAAUAUGAAAAAUUUUUCUUUAUUCUUGAAGUUUUUUUUUCCAAAAUUAUUUGUUUUUUUCUAUAAUUUUUAUUUAAUUUUUUUAAAUCGCAAGAAUUUGACUAAAGAUACAUAGACUCCUUUUAUAAGUAAUUUUAUUAGUAAAACUAACAAGUAAAAUAUAGCGAAAUCGAUUCAAAACACGCUGAAUUAUUCAUGUCUCUUGUUCCUUUAACCCUAAAUCUUAAAUCCUUAAACUCCCUAAGAAAAUAUUUAAUUUAAAGUUUCUUUUCUUUCGGAUUCCUUGCAUUUGCGUGGCUGAUUUUUAUUUAUUUUUCACUGGUUUUUGUUAUUUUAUUAUCGUGAUUUGUAGUAUUAUGUGUACACAGUUUUCACCCCCACAACAGGAAUUCUGAGGAUGAAUUACGAAGCAUCUUUCGCUUCUUGACUUUUCUCUGCAGAAAUAAACCCAAAAUGUUGCUGCAAAUUCACAAAAGACAAUAUUCCAACUUGAAUGGGGGAGUGAAUAAACCCCCUUUUGCGUCCGUAGAUGCUUCGUCAGAGAGAUAUUUGAGGGGGUGUUUUGAUGAUUCGAUAUUCAAGGAAGAAACUAUAUAUGUGGUGGAAGAAACAAAAAAAUAUCAAUGAAUGGGGAAUGGCGAAGAUGUAUGAGAAUCACAAAGGAAACUCCAUUCCUUGUGUGAUGAGCCAUGUGAGUGGGGUGGAAGGAGGGGGUUGGGGGAGGGAAGAGGGUGUGGGUGGAACUGUGUGUAACCGGAUCACGAACACAACAUAAAUAUGUGGUGUUCCAUCAAAAUUUCUCCUCGAAGAAUCAUCGAGUGAACCUCAUCAUUGUCCUCCCCAUGCUCCCACACGCCCACGCCCACCACCCCCAUCCGAUGAUAAAACAACGGGACGGCAUUGCAUUAGAGAUGAGAUGAAUUUGUGCACAUUUUCUCGAGCACAUAAAUGGAUUGUAUUGUUUAAAAGAUGAAAUAUCGCCCUCACUUUCGCAUGAUGAAUGAGCUUCGAGGUCCGAGAGAUGUGUGUUGUGUAUUCCAUAUAAGGGGGUGCGAGAAGGAUCCUCCAUCUGCCAUGCCUUCUGACGCAUGAAAAUCAACAAAAAUCCAUUGUUCUUCCACAAUUUUUGGGGGAUUUAUUGAUGAAUAUUUGCCUUGUUGAAUAGAUUUCUCUUUCUUUUUUUUUUCUCUCCUUCUUUGUUUAGGGAAAAUGGGGAAAAGUUUCCAUUUCCUACAAGCUUUAGUUUUGAUUUUUUUAUGUAUUAAUAUUUGUUGGUAAAUUACUUUAAAAUUUAAACUCCAACUAAUGGUGGAAAAGGAGUUUAUUCACUUUGACGUUUCAUUGAUCUUUUAAAUUGUUUAAUACAAAUUUGAAAAAUAUUACAGGGAGUUAAUAUUCAUGAGAAGGGAAAUUUUCUCUUUCAAAUAAGUCAGAUGAGAAAAAAAUCUCUUUUUACUUCUUAUCAGAUAUAUGCAUUAUGUGCAUAUGCUUCAAUAAACGAUCUAUUCAAUAACGCCUAAAAUGUAAAUAAUUUUAAACCAAAACAGAAAUACAAAUUGUUAAAAAAAUGCGCAAA
Lutzomyia longipalpis is the source of this 2428-nucleotide long non-coding RNA. RefSeq lists it as uncharacterized. The record is from RefSeq and is a predicted model, not a curated record. The transcript has 2 exons. Lineage: Eukaryota; Metazoa; Arthropoda; Insecta; Diptera; Psychodidae.